Molecule: ribosomal RNA, 616 nt
Filed under: uncultured bacterium
Lineage: Bacteria
Description: bacterial SSU rRNA
Rfam family: Bacterial small subunit ribosomal RNA
Source: RNAcentral
AUGCAGUCGAACGAAGUCUUCGGACUUAGUGGCGCACGGGUGCGUAACGCGUGGGAAUCUGCCCUUGGGUACGGAAUAACUCAGAGAAAUUUGUGCUAAUACCGUAUAAUGUCUUCGGACCAAAGAUUUAUCGCCCAAGGAUGAGCCCGCGUAAGAUUAGCUAGUUGGUGGGGUAAAAGCCUACCAAGGCGACGAUCUUUAGCUGGUCUGAGAGGAUGAUCAGCCACACUGGGACUGAGACACGGCCCAGACUCCUACGGGAGGCAGCAGUGGGGAAUAUUGGACAAUGGGCGAAAGCCUGAUCCAGCAAUGCCGCGUGAGUGAUGAAGGCCUUAGGGUUGUAAAGCUCUUUUACCCGGGAUGAUAAUGACAGUACCGGGAGAAUAAGCUCCGGCUAACUCCGUGCCAGCAGCCGCGGUAAUACGGAGGGAGCUAGCGUUGUUCGGAAUUACUGGGCGUAAAGCGCGCGUAGGCGGUUUUUUAAGUCAGAGGUGAAAGCCCAGUGCUCAACACUGGAACUGCCUUUGAAACUGGAAAACUUGAAUCUUGGAGAGGUCAGUGGAAUUCCGAGUGUAGAGGUGAAAUUCGUAGAUAUUCGGAAGAACACCAGUGGCGA